RNAcentral lists this microRNA (24 nucleotides) under Ananas comosus (pineapple). RNAcentral's name for it is "microRNA s1674_c106b". The record is from RNAcentral. Lineage: Eukaryota; Viridiplantae; Streptophyta; Magnoliopsida; Poales; Bromeliaceae.
AAAGAGGAUCACACUACAAGAAAC